Nipponia nippon (crested ibis) is the source of this 1422-nucleotide non-coding RNA. NCBI's taxonomy places the organism in Eukaryota, Metazoa, Chordata, Aves, Pelecaniformes, Threskiornithidae. The record is from RefSeq and is a predicted model, not a curated record.
GACCAAAGAGCCCCUGGAGAUCUUAACUGCUCUGCGCUGUCUUGUAUCUCUUACUGCUGAAGAACAGUCGUUACGAGUUGAGUGAGCCCUGUGCAGGAGGGAGGGAGGUCACAGAGGCUCGUAGCAUCUCUCCAAGGACGCGGUUCCCUGCAGAGAGAGAUCCCCCGCGCCCCCCUUGCAAUCGCAGCGGCGCUACCUGGGACCGGUCUCUGCCGCUCAGACAAAGAUGUCCGUCUGCUCUGUCAUGCGUGGGUGAAACCGAGCCUUAGCGAGCCCCGGUCUUGUGGGAGCGUGCCCCUCGCCGCCAGAAACGAGCGGCUGCCCUUGUGCUGCGCUGAGCUGCAAUGGCAGACUCGCCCUCCAUCUUCUCCUGCAGAAGCAGCGCUCUCCUGGGACAGAUUGUCACUUGGCUGCCGAGGGCACGUUUGCUUGUUUUCACGCAGUGCCAGCACGGUAGAUGUGACGGCUUGCUCAGUUUACCUGUUUGGUUGUGUACAAGCUCCCCUGCCCCAGGUGUCCCCCGGCUCUCAAUGCUCUUCAAAACCCAGAGGCAACAGAAAAUUCUUCUCACUUGGGUGGCUUUCUGACAUGGUCUGGCCUUUCCUUUUUUUGCUUAAGGCUUUCCUACUAGACACAUCCUCUUUUUUUCCCCCUUCUCCUCCCACUCAAACUUUUUUUCAGCUUUCAGUAGACAGUGUCUGCAGACUUUGAUUUUUAAACUGAGAGACCGAGAUGGAAAGCUCUGAAAAGAACAGACCUCUCCCUCCCCAUUCACCUUUUGCUGUGGCAGCUAUUUUUCGUUGUUUUUACCCUUGUGCGACAGCGCAGCUCUCUUACCUGCCGGUUGCAGUGUGAAAGCUACAAGAUUCCCUGCCUCUGCAGUGGAUUGCUUUUUUUAAUGGCUGCUUUGGUUAAAAAAGAUAAAUAAUAAUGGGAGAGAAGGGGAGAGAAAAAUCGUUCUGCCUCUAGCCCCUUUUCCCCUUGUCGUGAGCAGAUUACCUGCUUUGUCGCUUGUUAAUGAGGAAUUUGUAUUUAUUGGUGAAGGAAAAAACAUGCUGGGGAAGUAGGGAGAAGAUGUUGCUUUAUUGACCUCUGCUGUUUACUUCAACCCCCUCUUUGGGAAAGCUUCUUCCUGCUCUUUCUGGUUAACUCUUUCUAGCCUGGGAUAUGCAGGGAUGCCUCCUUUAUUUUUGUAUUCUAGCAAUGGGCUCUCCGUUAGGAGACUCUAGGAUUCUCUUAGUGUUGCAAUCACCAUUGCUUCUCGCUUUUUCAAGUACUAAAGAUGAUCAUCUCGUAAACUUUGCCCCUGCAGUUGUAGAGGUAACACACAAGCCUUACUGCCCUCAUUAGAAGGAGCAGAAAACUUGUUUCUCUGGUCCCUGGAAGAGAAAGGGUUAAGCAAUUAAACAGUUCUUUGUUCUA